Molecule: transfer RNA, 72 nt
Filed under: Bos taurus (domestic cattle)
Lineage: Eukaryota; Metazoa; Chordata; Mammalia; Artiodactyla; Bovidae
Also listed under: 4 other names
Rfam family: tRNA
About the family: Transfer RNA (tRNA) molecules are approximately 80 nucleotides in length. Their secondary structure includes four short double-helical elements and three loops (D, anti-codon, and T loops).
Source: Rfam by way of RNAcentral
UCCCUGGUGGCUAAGAUGGUAAAGUGUCUGUCCACAAUGCAGGAGGCCCAGGUUGGAUCCCUGGGUUGGGAA